UAAUACGGAGGGUGCAAGCGUUAUCCGGAUUCACUGGGUUUAAAGGGUGCGUAGGUGGAUUAGUAAGUCUGUGGUGAAAUCUCUGAGCUUAACUCGGAAACUGCCAUGGAUACUAUUAGUCUUGAAUCUCCUGGAGGUAAGCGGAAUAUGUCAUGUAGCGGUGAAAUGCUUAGAUAUGACAUAGAACACCAAUUGCGAAGGCAGCUUACUACGGGAGCAUUGACACUGAGGCACGAAAGCGUGGGGAUCAAACAGGAUUAGAUACCCUGGUAGUCCACGCCCUAAACGAUGAUUACUCGACAUACGCGAUACACUGUGUGUGUCUGAGCGAAAGCAUUAAGUAAUCCACCUGGGAAGUACGAUCGCAAGAUUG
This 373-nucleotide ribosomal RNA is filed under the name uncultured bacterium. RNAcentral describes it as "bacterial SSU rRNA". It matches the Rfam family "Bacterial small subunit ribosomal RNA", at positions 521 to 896 of the family's 1533-position model. The record is from RNAcentral.